RNAcentral lists this ribosomal RNA (120 nucleotides) under uncultured bacterium. Its description in RNAcentral is "partial 16S ribosomal RNA". It matches the Rfam family "Bacterial small subunit ribosomal RNA", at positions 28 to 150 of the family's 1533-position model. The record is from RNAcentral.
GACGAACGCUGGCGGCGUGCUUAACACAUGCAAGUCGAACGAUGAAGCCCUUCGGGGUGGAUUAGUGGCGAACGGGUGAGUAACACGUGGGCAAUCUGCCCUUCACUCUGGGACAAGCCC